GUGCUCGCCUUGGCAGCUGAUAUACUAAAACUGGAACGAUAGAGAGAUUAGCAUGGCCCCUGCACAAGGAUGACACACAAAUUUGUGAAGCAUUCCUUAUUUUU
This 104-nucleotide small nuclear RNA is filed under the name Dasypus novemcinctus (nine-banded armadillo). Lineage: Eukaryota; Metazoa; Chordata; Mammalia; Cingulata; Dasypodidae. The record is from RNAcentral.